Long non-coding RNA from Acanthochromis polyacanthus (spiny chromis), 923 nucleotides. RefSeq lists it as uncharacterized. The record is from RefSeq and is a predicted model, not a curated record. Lineage: Eukaryota; Metazoa; Chordata; Actinopteri; Pomacentridae. The transcript has 3 exons.
UUACUAAAACACUUGAAUGUUUUUCCCUUUAGUUUCACUGCUUGUGCAUCAGCAGCAGCCAGAUCCUUUUUGUCCUUGAUAUUCUGGCAAUGUGUUCUACAUGUAUUUUAUGUACUUCACAUAUUUCUGUCAUGCACACUGGAUACUGUACACAUUACUGUCUGCAUCCUAUGUUCCACUUCUUGACUGUAGAAAGAACCAGUGAGGAGGAAAUGUCGAACAAUUUCUCUUGCUAAUCCCAGUACCAUAGUGAGGGGCUUCCAGCUUCUCCCAGAGAGUGUCUACUUCGGUACACUGCAUGUAAAAAGGAUUUAUUGCAGUUCUUGGGGCAGGUUCCAUGUAAAACAGCCUUCUCCUAGUACUGGCCUCAGGAUCAUCUACAAGCCGAGGCCUGUGGCUGCAGGUUUGCAGGUUGAACUGCAGGUUCAGCUGUUUGCCAUGUGUGCAGCCCAAACAGGACAAGUGGAGCCGAAGAAGUUUCUCCCAGGAUGUUAUCAACACUGAGACAGACAUCUUCUAUCUGCCUGUCACUGCUAAUAUCCUUUGACACGUAAAGAGAACAACAUAAUUGGGUUGUAUGUCCCUUGAAGAGACUGUAUGCAACUGCUGAAAACCCAAUGAAAAGUACAUGUAAUGAAAAAACGCGUACAAUUUUAUGGUCGCACACUGUUAGACUGUGGACAUUGUUGCAGUUUUUAUGUUACUUUUGUUUUUUUUCAGUCAACAUGUGUCUAAAUGCUUUUUUCUAGGAUUUUACAAGAUAUAAUCUGUAAUUAAACAAUAUGGUGAAAAUCUGUACAAAAAAAAAGUUAUAUUAUUAAAAAACCCGAAGACCUGUAGAAAAUUGAGUAAUUUUAUGGUCCACACAAAGAAUGUUUUCCUGUGAUUUAUAGGUCUGUGUAUAUUUUGGUAAUUGGAUUUUC